This 549-nucleotide long non-coding RNA is filed under the name Homo sapiens (human). RNAcentral's name for it is "HSALNT0163180". Lineage: Eukaryota; Metazoa; Chordata; Mammalia; Primates; Hominidae. The record is from RNAcentral.
CCUCAUGAUAAUUUGGCCUUCUUUGGUUUGUAUCUUACAGCCCAGAUUAUGAGAUUUAAUUUAAUUUAAUUUAAGUUGACAGAAGUGUCUGUCAGAGAAAGCAAGUAGAAAAUCAUUUUUUUGGUGGUGGUUCUAAAGCAGUUAUUCCUAACUUUUCAAGGGGUGUUGGGACUUCUUUGAAACCAAUAGAAUCAUUUUAAGAAAAUGCCCAUGUAUAAUUUCAAGUUCACAGAAUCUCUGAAACCAUACAUGAGUUUGGGUAUGCUUGUGUAUAUACCAGAUUCCUGCUCUAGAGUAUAUGACUUUUCUCUCAUCUUGGUAGAAUGAAGUGAGUAGAAUUUGCAAUGUAACUAUCGCUUUCUUCUGGGUCUUAUUUUCAUUCACAAGGGUUUUGCUAUUCUCCCAAUAUUCCCACACUUAUUUCUCUAGAUUAAGAAUAGAAUUUUCUUUAAAAGCUGCUCCUCUGUAUCUCUUAUGUUCAGUCUAUGACCAAAUGCUGAUGAGUAUUCCUUCAAAAUAUCCCUUCCCUCAUCCACCUAUAUUGCUGUU